GACGAACGCUGGCGGCGUGCUUAACACAUGCAAGUCGAACGGAAAGGCUCCAGCUUGCUGGAGUACUCGAGUGGCGAACGGGUGAGUAACACGUGGGUAAUCUGCCCUGCACUCUGGGAUAAGCCUGGGAAACUGGAUCUAAUACUGGAUAUGACCUUUCUCCUUAUGGGGUUUGGUGGAAAGUUUUUCGGUGUAGGAUGAGCCCGCGGCCUAUCAGCUUGUUGGUGGGGUGAUGGCCUACCAAGGCGACGACGGGUAGCCGGCCUGAGAGGGUGAUCGGCCACAUUGGGACUGAGAUACGGCCCAGACUCCUACGGGAGGCAGCAGUGGGGAAUAUUGCACAAUGGGCGGAAGCCUGAUGCAGCGACGCCGCGUGAGGGAUGACGGCCUUCGGGUUGUAAACCUCUUUCAGCAGGGACGAAGCGUAAGUGACGGUACCUGCAGAAGAAGCACCGGCUAACUAUGUG
Molecule: ribosomal RNA, 467 nt
Filed under: uncultured bacterium
Lineage: Bacteria
Description: partial 16S ribosomal RNA
Rfam family: Bacterial small subunit ribosomal RNA
Source: RNAcentral